Molecule: long non-coding RNA, 1643 nt
Organism: Gymnogyps californianus (California condor)
Lineage: Eukaryota; Metazoa; Chordata; Aves; Accipitriformes; Cathartidae
Exons: 4
Source: RefSeq, a predicted model, not a curated record
GGCGGCAGCGGCAGCGGCUCUGCGGGCAUGAGUGCAGUGCGUGCUUCGCUGUCUCUGCUGUGAGGCAGUGUAAACAAGUCCCAGCAGAAUUGCUGAAAUUACCUCUGAGUGAUAUAUUCAAGCACUGCGAAGAGCGGAGCCAACGACACGGGAGCAGAGAGAGCUGAGAGUGCGUCCUCAGUCAUAGCGCACGGACAAUGAGAGUUCGGAUCUGACCUAAAACACAUGGAUUGCACUGAGAAGCCACUUAGAGAUGUCUGUCGUCCAACUUGGAACUCUCAUCCUGGGUCGGAUAUCCUCAGCAGGUGUGAGCUGGCACAGCUUCAUCUCUGCACAACGCUGCAGCGCCAGGUUACUUGAAGUCUUCUAAAACAACAGCAAAAUUCCUGCUGAACUCACUAUAGUUAUGAGUGUUUGUAUUGUGAUAGUGCAUUGCACGGUGUGUGGUCCCCGACUGUACAGCCUGCAGUCCCUGACAGGGGUCUCCUCUGUAUAUAACAGGACCAAGUUUUCACCUCUUGUGGGAAUCUGAUUCUGAUACAUACUUUGACUUAUCCUAUCUUAUUGAGGUAAGAAAAAAUUUUGCUACUGACUGAAUGGAAACCAGGUCUGGAGCAGGUGAAGGGAAGCUGUGCAAGUGUUUUGUGAGCGCUUCGGUAGAAACUGUCUUUGCAGAAGACCAAAUACCAUUUCCAUCUAAUGUUUUUACUGUAACACUUUUAAACUCAAAAUGAUGUAGCGUCUUCUCAUCAUUAAUUUGCUCUUGAGCCCUGCAGGUUCAUUUGUUUUGUUUUGCCUUGCCUUGCCUAUAUCAACUUUUAAUGCUUUGCACUGAGCUCCCAUAGUGAGCUCUCUUGAACACCUCAGGGUUUACUCAUGCUCUGGAUGUGGCUGUAUUUUGUCUGCAGUAAAAGGUAAGUGUUGAAUGCUGUGGAAACAGAUCUGCAGUUUGCCUGGGAAAUACUGGAGGAUGUGUGUUCCCCAUUUUUAAUAGCAUUUAUACUCGUGGUUUCACUACUAAAACUAGGAGAGGAGUUGUCCGAGGACAGGGGAAGCUGCUUUUUCUCGAUUCUCCUAGACAGGGACCGUGUGUCUUUCCAGCCUGAAGAUUUGGGAACUGGGUGGUUCCUGCCUUCCCCUGUGGGGGCUGGGGAUGUGCUGGCAGAGCUGGCUCCAGGCAGACGUCCUGGUUGAGCCUCAGCUCUGCCUGGUCGGCGUGGCAAGGCUCUGCCCUGGAGCCGGUGGGACGGGGCUGUGGCUUGUGCUGGCGCUGGGUCAGUUCCAACCCACCGGCAUUGCAGCCGGUCUGCCUGCGAGGGAAGUGCCGAUGGUUGUCUCCAUUCACGGCAGAAACCCUCUCAUUGAUGCGGCUGAUAUUUCUGAAUAGUGAGCUGUGAAAAAAGAAAGAUAGCGCGUGACUAAGCAGGCGCUUUGCUGCAUGGCAGGCAGUUCUGGUGGGGCUGCCGCCUGACGCGCUCCGAGACGUACCUAGACAUCCAAAUCGCCUCUUUUUAAGAAGGCCAAAUGCUCUUCCAGUUAUUGUUCUGGGAAGCUCAUGUCACCGGGCGUAUAGUUCAUUUUGUUUGGAAUUUCAGGGUCAGACAUAAGUGUUGUUAUCCACCUCGGAGGAAAAGCUUUAGAAA